AGCCGAAAGGGAUUCGGAUUGUAAGCACUUUAAGUUGGGAGGAAGGGUAGAAGUUAAUACCUUGUUGUUUAGUUAUACAAAGGGGAGGGUGUGCGUCCGGGGCGCGGUAUUAAAGC
RNAcentral lists this ribosomal RNA (116 nucleotides) under Pseudomonas sp. Tn-P11. Its description in RNAcentral is "partial 16S ribosomal RNA". The record is from RNAcentral. Lineage: Bacteria; Pseudomonadati; Pseudomonadota; Gammaproteobacteria; Pseudomonadales; Pseudomonadaceae.